RNAcentral lists this transfer RNA (63 nucleotides) under Nebria komarovi. RNAcentral's name for it is "tRNA-Leu". RNAcentral also lists the same sequence under 1 other name. The record is from RNAcentral. Lineage: Eukaryota; Metazoa; Arthropoda; Insecta; Coleoptera; Carabidae.
UUAUUUUGGCAGAUUAGUGCAAUGAAUUUAGAAUUCAUAUAUAUAAUUUUAUUAUAAAUAAUA